UGGAAGUAAAAGUCGUAACAAGGUCUCCGUUGGUGAACCAGCGGAGGGAUCAUUACCGAGUUUACAACUCCCAAACCCAAUGUGAACGUUACCAAACUGUUGCCUCGGCGGGAUCUCUGCCCCGGGUGCGUCGCAGCCCCGGACCAAGGCGCCCGCCGGAGGACCAACCUAAAACUCUUAUUGUAUACCCCCUCGCGGGUUUUUUUAUAAUCUGAGCCUUCUCGGCGCCUCUCGUAGGCGUUUCGAAAAUGAAUCAAAACUUUCAACAACGGAUCUCUUGGUUCUGGCAUCGAUGAAGAACGCAGCGAAAUGCGAUAAGUAAUGUGAAUUGCAGAAUUCAGUGAAUCAUCGAAUCUUUGAACGCACAUUGCGCCCGCCAGUAUUCUGGCGGGCAUGCCUGUCCGAGCGUCAUUUCAACCCUCGAACCCCUCCGGGGGGUCGGCGUUGGGGAUCGGCCCUCCCUUAGCGGGUGGCCGUCUCCGAAAUACAGUGGCGGUCUCGCCGCAGCCUCUCCUGCGCAGUAGUUUGCACACUCGCAUCGGGAGCGCGGCGCGUCCACAGCCGUUAAACACCCAACUUCUGAAAUGUUGACCUCGGAUCAGGUAGGAAUACCCGCUGAACUUAAGCAUAUCAAUAAGCGGAGGAA
Molecule: ribosomal RNA, 646 nt
Filed under: fungal sp. ARIZ B432
Lineage: Eukaryota; Fungi
Also listed under: 1 other name
Description: eukaryotic LSU rRNA
Rfam family: 5.8S ribosomal RNA (bases 258-411)
Source: RNAcentral